Molecule: ribosomal RNA, 459 nt
Filed under: uncultured bacterium
Lineage: Bacteria
Description: bacterial SSU rRNA
Rfam family: Bacterial small subunit ribosomal RNA
Source: RNAcentral
UACGGAAGGCACGCAGUGGGGAAUAUUGCACAAUGGGCGAAAGCCUGAUGCAGCUAUGCCGCGUGUAUGAAGAAGGCCUUAGGGUUGUAAAGUACUUUCAUCGGGGAGGAAAAAACAAAACUAAUAAUUUUAUUUCUUGACGUUACCCGAAAAAGAAGCACCGGCUAACUCCGUGCCAGCAGCCGCGGUAAUACGGAGGGUGCUAGCGUUAAUCAGAAUUACUGGGCGUAAAGAGCACGUAGGUGGUUUUUUUAAGUCAGAUGUGAAAUCCCUGGGCUUAACCUAGGAACUGCAUUUUGAAACUGAAAUACUAGAGUAUCGUAGAGGGAGGUAGAAUUCUAGGUGUAGCGGUGAAAUGCGUAGAUAUCUGGAGGAAUACCUGUGGCGAAAGCGGCCUCCUAAACGAAUACUGACACUGAGGGUGCGAAAGCGUGGGGAGCAAAACAGGGAUUAGAUACC